RNAcentral lists this ribosomal RNA (449 nucleotides) under Klebsiella pneumoniae. RNAcentral's name for it is "partial 23S ribosomal RNA". It matches the Rfam family "Bacterial large subunit ribosomal RNA", at positions 2261 to 2709 of the family's 2925-position model. The record is from RNAcentral. Lineage: Bacteria; Pseudomonadati; Pseudomonadota; Gammaproteobacteria; Enterobacterales; Enterobacteriaceae.
GUGGGUAGUUUGACUGGGGCGGUCUCCUCCCAAAGCGUAACGGAGGAGCACGAAGGUUAGCUAAUCCUGGUCGGACAUCAGGAGGUUAGUGCAAUGGCAUAAGCUAGCUUGACUGCGAGCGUGACGGCGCGAGCAGGUGCGAAAGCAGGUCAUAGUGAUCCGGUGGUUCUGAAUGGAAGGGCCAUCGCUCAACGGAUAAAAGGUACUCCGGGGAUAACAGGCUGAUACCGCCCAAGAGUUCAUAUCGACGGCGGUGUUUGGCACCUCGAUGUCGGCUCAUCACAUCCUGGGGCUGAAGUAGGUCCCAAGGGUAUGGCUGUUCGCCAUUUAAAGUGGUACGCGAGCUGGGUUUAGAACGUCGUGAGACAGUUCGGUCCCUAUCUGCCGUGGGCGCUGGAGAAUUGAGGGGGGCUGCUCCUAGUACGAGAGGACCGGAGUGGACGCAUCAC